CCUACGGGCGGCAGCAGUGAGGAAUAUUGGUCAAUGGGCGCGAGCCUGAACCAGCCAAGUAGCGUGAAGGAUGACUGCCCUACGGGUUGUAAACUUCUUUUAUAAAGGAAUAAAGUGAGGCACGUGUGCCUUUUUGUAUGUACUUUAUGAAUAAGGAUCGGCUAACUCCGUGCCAGCAGCCGCGGUAAUACGGAGGAUGCGAGCGUUAUCCGGAUUUAUUGGGUUUAAAGGGUGCGUAGGCGGGUUAUCAAGUCAGCGGUAAAAUCGUGGAGCUCAACUCCAUCCAGCCGUUGAAACUGAUGAUCUUGAGUGGGCGAGAAGUAUGCGGAAUUCGUGGUGUAGCGGUGAAAUGCUUAGAUAUCACGAAGAACUCCGAUUGCGAAGGCAGCUUACUAAACUGCCACUGACAUUGAUGCUCGAAAGUGUGGGUAUCAAACAGGAUUAGAUACCCCUGGUAGUC
This 460-nucleotide ribosomal RNA is filed under the name uncultured bacterium. RNAcentral describes it as "partial 16S ribosomal RNA". It matches the Rfam family "Bacterial small subunit ribosomal RNA", at positions 338 to 795 of the family's 1533-position model. The record is from RNAcentral.